UUUAGAGGAAGUAAAAGUCGUAACAAGGUCUCCGUUGGUGAACCAGCGGAGGGAUCAUUACCGAGUUUACAACUCCCAAACCCCUGUGAACAUACCAAUUGUUGCCUCGGCGGAUCAGCCCGCUCCCGGUAAAACGGGACGGCCCGCCAGAGGACCCCUAAACUCUGUUUCUAUAUGUAACUUCUGAGUAAAACCAUAAAUAAAUCAAAACUUUCAACAACGGAUCUCUUGGUUCUGGCAUCGAUGAAGAACGCAGCAAAAUGCGAUAAGUAAUGUGAAUUGCAGAAUUCAGUGAAUCAUCGAAUCUUUGAACGCACAUUGCGCCCGCCAGUAUUCUGGCGGGCAUGCCUGUUCGAGCGUCAUUUCAACCCUCAAGCCCAGCUUGGUGUUGGGACUCGCGAGCCAAAUCGCGUUCCCCAAAUUGAUUGGCGGUCACGUCGAGCUUCCAUAGCGUAGUAGUAAAACCCUCGUUACUGGUAAUCGUCGCGGCCACGCCGUUAAACCCCAACUUCUGAAUNNNGACCUCGGAUCAGGUAGGAAUACCCGC
This 547-nucleotide ribosomal RNA is filed under the name uncultured fungus. RNAcentral's name for it is "eukaryotic LSU rRNA". The stretch from base 209 to 362 matches the Rfam family "5.8S ribosomal RNA". The record is from RNAcentral. Lineage: Eukaryota; Fungi.